This is an RNA transcript of Mastomys coucha (southern multimammate mouse), 501 nucleotides long. It is a transcript of the gene named cyclin-dependent kinases regulatory subunit 2 pseudogene, with no coding region annotated. Lineage: Eukaryota; Metazoa; Chordata; Mammalia; Rodentia; Muridae. The transcript has a single exon. The record is from RefSeq and is a predicted model, not a curated record.
AUGGCCCACAAGCAGAUCUACUACUCAGACAAGUACUCCGAUGAACACUACGAGUACCGGCAUGUCAUGUUACCCAGAGAACUCUCCAAACAAGUACCCAAAACUCAUCUGAUGUCCGAAGAAGAGUGGAGGAGACUUGGUGUCCAACAGAGUCUAGGAUGGGUUCAUUACAUGAUUCAUGAGCCAGAACCGCAUAUUCUCCUCUUUAGAAGACCUCUUCCAAAAGAACAACAAAAAUGAAGUACAGCUGGAACCAUCUAUAACCUUUUUCAAAUUUAAUGUAAAUGUGUAUAUAAGGUAGUGUUCAGUGAAUACUUGAAAAAAAUGUAAACCUUUCAUCCAUACCUGUGCAUGAGCUGUAUUCUUCACAGCGACAGAGCUCAGUUAAAUGCAACUGCAAGUAGGUUAGUUUUAUGUUGUUAAAUUUUCUUGUAGUUUUUUCUUAAUAUAAAUGCCUGUUUUACUUUACCUGUUUUGUUAAAUAAAGUUUGUAUAUUGCAU